This is a long non-coding RNA of Amphiprion ocellaris (clown anemonefish), 319 nucleotides long. NCBI's taxonomy places the organism in Eukaryota, Metazoa, Chordata, Actinopteri, Pomacentridae. The record is from Ensembl.
CGGUUGAGCAUUCUUGGCAACGUCUCUCUCGGUGAACAGGCUGCCGACCGUCGGCUGUUUCCACAAUGUCUGGAGAAUUAUUUUAACGGAGUAGGAGCCGAGAGGAGCCGCCGGAGCAGCGUUAGAGUUACACUGCGAGCAGCUGGAGGAACAAAGAAUCCUGUCUUCAAAGGGAGCUGAAUGUGGGCCACCUGAGUUACUUCGCCUUGUCAUAAAAUCAUCUCUGUUGCUUCCAGGCACCUCAUGGGAAUUUCAUCUGCAUUUUAUUUGGAGGCGUUGGUCAGCCUUUUUGCUCCUUCUGUGCUGCCUGUUGGAGGUC